This 245-nucleotide ribosomal RNA is filed under the name uncultured Desulfobacteraceae bacterium. RNAcentral's name for it is "partial 16S ribosomal RNA". It matches the Rfam family "Bacterial small subunit ribosomal RNA", at positions 524 to 768 of the family's 1533-position model. The record is from RNAcentral. Lineage: Bacteria; Pseudomonadati; Thermodesulfobacteriota; Desulfobacteria; Desulfobacterales; Desulfobacteraceae.
UACGGGGGGUGCAAGCGUUACUCGGAAUCAUUGGGCGUAAAGGGCGCGCAGGCGGCCUGGUAAGUCAGGUGUGAAAGCCCGGGGCUCAACCCCGGAAGUGCAUUUGAAACUGUCAGGCUUGAGUAUGGGAGAGGGAAGUGGAAUUCCUGGUGUAGAGGUGAAAUUCGUAGAUAUCAGGAGGAACACCGGUGGCGAAGGCGACUUCCUGGACCAAUACUGACGCUGAGGCGCGAAGGCGUGGGGAG